UAUGAUCUGGAAAGCAUACACCUUCAUUAUUAUCUGGAAAGCUAAAAACAAGAACACCCUCGAAUGUGAGGCUCACAUAUCAAUAUUGUUGUUUUUCAGUGAUGCUGGACUUCUUAACUAACUGGUCAUGGUGGGUGUGUUUUGGUUAGAUGGCUGUUAUGAGACCAAAAAUAUGCUGGGAGAUAAACCGCAGGGACAUGUUUGUACACCGGACACCAAGAGUUGCGGCAUAUCUGGUCAGUGAAAGUUGGAAGCGUUGUUUUGAUGGUAGCCUGCGCAGAAGAGGUAGCUCUGCUUUGACACAUACGCACUGCAAAUAGACUUGUUGUGCCUGAGAUGCAGCCUGAACCAGCCAACUACCUACCUACCUACAGAGGUGAUUGGUAGGCUGCAAAAAUGCUGAAAAAGUUCAGUUCAUCUCAUAUUCAUCUCCAUUCACGUCUGCCACAUUGGCCACCGACAAGGCGUUUCGAUAUUUGGCCAGUUUCAUCAGCUGCCCCCACGUCUUGCCAUCUGCUUGGCAUCUGCAUACAUGUCUUUGCGUAGUUUGAUUACAGCCCUCAUAAAACUGCCAUCGGAAGCUUCCAGCAUUCGACCCAAACGUACUACCAAGGACCUAGCCGGAAAGUCGUCCUUGCGCCACGCACGACCAAGCCAUCUUGUCGUCCUCGGGCCUCGCACAACCAAGCCAUCUAGUCGUCUUGGCGCCACGCACAACCAAGCCAUCUAGUCAUCCUAGCGCCACGCACGACCAAGCCAUCUAGUCGUCCUCUUGCCACAAAGGACUAAGCCAUCUAGUCAUGCUCGUGCCAUGCACGACCAAGCCAACUAGUCGUCCUCGCGCCACGCACGGCCAAUAUAUGAAUGACAAAUAUGCAAUAAAGUUAUACACUGUAGAUGUCUAAGGUGUUUUGAAGUUAUGAAUCGAUUACACAUAUUGCAGAAAACAA
Molecule: long non-coding RNA, 950 nt
Organism: Dreissena polymorpha
Lineage: Eukaryota; Metazoa; Mollusca; Bivalvia; Myida; Dreissenidae
Exons: 3
Source: RefSeq, a predicted model, not a curated record